RNAcentral lists this ribosomal RNA (512 nucleotides) under uncultured bacterium. RNAcentral describes it as "partial 16S ribosomal RNA". It matches the Rfam family "Bacterial small subunit ribosomal RNA", at positions 28 to 507 of the family's 1533-position model. The record is from RNAcentral.
GAUGAACGCUGGCGGCGUGCCUAAUACAUGCAAGUCGAACGAAACUUCUUUAUCACCGAGUGCUUGCGCUCACCGAUAAAGAGUUGAGUGGCGAACGGGUGAGUAGCACGUGGGCAACCUGCCCAAAAGAGGGGGAUAACACUUGGAAACAGGUGCUAAUACCGCAUAACCAUAGUUACCGCAUGGUAACUAUGUAAAAGGUGGCUAUACUACCGCUUUUGGAUGGGCCCGCGGCGCAUUAGCUAGUUGGUAGGGUAAAGGCUUACCAAGGCAAUGAUGCGUAGCCGAAUUGAGAGGUUGAUCGGCCACAUUGGGACUGAGACACGGCCCAAACUCCUACGGGAGGCAGCAGUAGGGAAUCUUCCACAAUGGGCGAAAGCCUGAUGGAGCAACGCCGCGUGGGUGAAGAAGGUCUUCGGAUCGUAAAACCCUGUUGUUAGAGAAGAAAGUGCGUGAGAGUAACUGUUCACGUUUCGACGGUAUCUAACCAGAAAGCCACGGCUAACUACGUG